This 429-nucleotide ribosomal RNA is filed under the name Babesia occultans. RNAcentral's name for it is "SSU rRNA". It matches the Rfam family "Eukaryotic small subunit ribosomal RNA", at positions 536 to 1028 of the family's 1831-position model. Lineage: Eukaryota; Apicomplexa; Aconoidasida; Piroplasmida; Babesiidae. The record is from RNAcentral.
CCAGAGUACCAAUUGGAGGGCAAGUCUGGUGCCAGCAGCCGCGGUAAUUCCAGCUCCAAUAGCGUAUAUUAAACUUGUUGCAGUUAAAAAGCUCGUAGUUGAAUUUCAGCGUUUCGCGUGUGCCUCUUUUGGCCCAUCUCGUCUCGCUUUUUUUAUUACUUUGAGAAAAUUAGAGUGUUUCAAGCAGGCUUUUGUCUUGAAUACUUGAGCAUGGAAUAAUAGAGUAGGACCUUGGUUCUAUUUUGUUGGUUUUGUUACCUUGGUAAUGGUUAAUAGGAACGGUUGGGGGCAUUCGUAUUUAACUGUCAGAGGUGAAAUUCUUAGAUUUGUUAAAGACGAACUACUGCGAAAGCAUUUGCCAAGGACGUUUCCAUUAAUCAAGAACGAAAGUUAGGGGAUCGAAGACGAUCAGAUACCGUCGUAGUCCUA